GUGAGGGAUAUUGCGCAAUGGGGGAAACCCUGACGCAGUGACGCCGCGUGAGUGAUGAAGGCUUUCGAGUUGUAAAGCUCUGUUAGGUGGAAAGAAAUAUCCACGUGCUAAUACCACGUGGACUUGACGGUACCACCAAAGGAAGCACCGGCUAACUCCGUGCCAGCAGCCGCGGUAAUACGGAGGGUGCAAGCGUUGUUCGGAAUUACUGGGCGUAAAGGGCGUGUAGGCGGUUUUGCAAGUCAGAUGUGAAAUCCCUUAGCUUAACUAAGGAAGUGCAUUUGAAACUGCUUGACUAGAGUAUGGGAGGGGAAAGUGGAAUUCCCAGUGUAGAGGUGAAAUUCAUAGAUAUUGGGAGGAACACCGGUGGCGAAGGCGGCUUUCUGGCCUGAUACUGACGCUGAGACGCGAAAGCGUGGGGAGCAAACAGGAUUAGAUACCCUAGUAGUCC
This 451-nucleotide ribosomal RNA is filed under the name uncultured bacterium. RNAcentral's name for it is "bacterial SSU rRNA". It matches the Rfam family "Bacterial small subunit ribosomal RNA", at positions 354 to 796 of the family's 1533-position model. The record is from RNAcentral.